AGUUUUAAACGACCUAUACCAAAGACAGUGGGUGCUGAAAUCAGCUUAAUAUCCUGCCGAGGUUGAUGUCCUAAAAAAAAUUCCCUUGCUUCAAAAAUAACUGUAGCAAUUAGGGAAAGACAUCAGACGCGACCCCGGCAUCUAGCUAGGGGUCUUGUUAUAUGUCGAA
Molecule: regulatory RNA element, 169 nt
Organism: Stanieria cyanosphaera PCC 7437
Lineage: Bacteria; Bacillati; Cyanobacteriota; Cyanophyceae; Pleurocapsales; Dermocarpellaceae
Rfam family: Ribosomal protein L10 leader
About the family: This family is a putative r-protein leader autoregulatory structure found in B. subtilis and other low-GC Gram-positive bacteria. It is located in the 5' untranslated regions of mRNAs encoding ribosomal proteins L10 and L12 (rplJ-rplL).
Source: Rfam